AUCGAGAUUUAAUUUAAUGUUGUUUUCGUUUACGUUGAAAAAUUUUUUUGUGUGAUUCAGAAGUUCUCGAUU
RNAcentral lists this transfer RNA (72 nucleotides) under Alulatettix yunnanensis. RNAcentral describes it as "tRNA-Val". The record is from RNAcentral. Lineage: Eukaryota; Metazoa; Arthropoda; Insecta; Orthoptera; Tetrigidae.